AUACGUAGGUGACAAGCGUUAUCCGGAUUUACUGGGCGUAAAGGGCGUGUAGGCGGUCUUGCAAGUCAGAAGUGAAAUUCCUGAGCUCCACUCGGGCGCUGCUUCUGAAACUGCAGGACUUGAGUGCUGGAGGGGAUAGCGGAAUUCCUAGUGGAGCGGUAAAAUGCGCAGAUAUUAGGAAGAACACCGGUGGCGAAGGCGGCUAUCUGGACAGUAACUGACGCUGAGGCGCGAAAGCGUGGGGAGCAAACAGGAUUAGAUACCCUGGUAGUCCACGCUGUAAACGAUGAUUACUAGGUGUUGGGGACCAAAGGUCCUCGGUGCCGCCGCAAACGCAUUAAGUAAUCCACCUGGGGAGUACGUUCGCAAGAAUGAAACUCAAAGGAAUUGACGGGG
RNAcentral lists this ribosomal RNA (396 nucleotides) under uncultured bacterium. Its description in RNAcentral is "partial 16S ribosomal RNA". It matches the Rfam family "Bacterial small subunit ribosomal RNA", at positions 523 to 918 of the family's 1533-position model. The record is from RNAcentral.